UUAAACUGAAGAGUUUGAUCAUGGCUCAGAUUGAACGCUGGCGGCAGGCUUAACACAUGCAAGUCGAGCGGUAACAUUUCUAGCU
RNAcentral lists this ribosomal RNA (85 nucleotides) under Marinomonas sp. RNAcentral's name for it is "partial 16S ribosomal RNA". It matches the Rfam family "Bacterial small subunit ribosomal RNA", at positions 1 to 82 of the family's 1533-position model. Lineage: Bacteria; Pseudomonadati; Pseudomonadota; Gammaproteobacteria; Oceanospirillales; Oceanospirillaceae. The record is from RNAcentral.